This is an RNA transcript of Coffea arabica (coffee), 1790 nucleotides long. It is a transcript of the gene named transcription factor bHLH80, with no coding region annotated. Lineage: Eukaryota; Viridiplantae; Streptophyta; Magnoliopsida; Gentianales; Rubiaceae. The record is from RefSeq and is a predicted model, not a curated record.
AGCGUCCUUCUUUACCACUUUUGUAUGAACACGGAUAAUAAUACCCUCCACUCCAGAAAAGAAAAAGUCCAGACACCACCACAAUCUAAAAUCCAACCUGAAACCAACCAAAUAAAUAGCGAAAUCCCAUAAAAAAAAUGAUGAUAAUCAAAAGUACAGGGAGAACUAUCUAGUAGAGCUUCAUCUUUUUCUCUCUCUCUCUUUUUUUUUUUUUUGUUCCCUGGUUUUAGUAGUUAGUUCACUAUCACAGGAACUACUAGUAAAUUAGUUUGUUUAAAAAAAAAAGUGACAAAAGUAGCUGAAGAAUAAGAGGAGAGGAGGGCAGAUGCAACCGGCUGGUGGCGGUGGAGUCGGAUUAAGCAGAGGUCUUGGUGGAGGCGGUGGUGGUGGUGGGUUUGCUCGGUUUCGCUCAGCUCCGGCGACUUGGUUAGAAGCACUAUUGGAAAAUGAUGAUGACAACGACGUCGUUUUGGACCCACCGGUUUUAGCUUCGAGUAGUAAUAAGCCACCUUUGCACCCGCCGGCUUCUUCUCCAGUUCAGUCAACUCAGCAGCAGCAGCAGUCGAGCGCGGCUAGUAGUAGAUAUGCGGCCGAUCUGGGGAUGUUGGACACGGUGGGGAGUGGUGGAGGUGGGCUCAGUGGGUUGCUCCGGCAGAAUAGCUCCCCGGCGGAGCUUUUGUCUGAUGGGUACUUCUCGAAUUUUGGGAUUCCGGCCAAUUAUGACAAUUUCUUGAUGUCUUCUUUGGACGUUUCGUCGGAGUCUCCGUCCAAGCGGCCCAGAGAGGCUGAUUCCAAUAACCCAUCUCCAAAAGCUUCUUCUCAAGUGAAAGGAGAGCAAAGUGAGCAGUUGCAUGCUGGAAUGGGUAGAUUGUUGGACUCUGAAAUGGAAAAGCUUUCAGAGGAUGCUGUUCUGUGUAGGGUUCGGGCAAAACGAGGUUGUGCUACGCAUCCUCGUAGCAUUGCUGAGAGAGUUCGAAGGACACGAAUCAGUGACCGGAUAAGGAAACUUCAGGAACUAUACCAAGACCGUCAAUGGGGGGGGGGGUUGUGUGUGUGUGUGUGUGGGGCAGUGACAAAUAGUUGGGGAAAAUUUUUAUUAUAUUAUGUUUUCCUCUAUUUGGCUUGAAGAGUUAUUUAUUUCUUGAAUUAGGUUCGAAGGACACGAAUCAGUGACCGGAUAAGGAAACUUCAGGAACUUGUCCCCAAUAUGGAUAAGCAAACAAACACGGCAGACAUGUUAGAAGAAGCAGUAGAGUAUGUCAAGUUUCUACAGAAGCAAAUUCAGGAACUCAAGGAGCAGCAAAAGAAAUGUAAAUGCUUUGCCAAAGAGUAAUUGCAGAACCGAACUUUUUCCGAGUGAACUGAAGUGAAUUGGCAAUUAUGUCGAAGUAUUAGCGAAAAUAUGGUACACUACUGUGCUUCAGUUUCUUCUACACCUGUGGAUGCUGCUACUUAAAAAAGAGCUUGGUACGAUAAGAUCUACACCGUAGUGCCAUCACUGUCUACCACCGAGUCUACUUUCUUGGAUGCUUUUGUGGUAGAUGUCAAAUAUCAUGUAAAUUACCUCUUUGCUCAAGCAUGUUGUCCGGAAACUAUCUAUGUUUUGCUUAUUUUAGGUGAAAUUCGUUUGCCAUAAAGACUGCAUGUACCAUGGCGAUAUUAAUCAAUAAAACUUUUGGUAGUACCAGAAGUUUGUAAUCAAUUACGUAAUCCUUGCAUGACAUACUUAUGUCCCUUUUUGACCCGUUCAAGUGAAGGGGCUUCCUUUGGGAGCUACUCUGUUUCUUGCA